CCUACGGGAGGCAGCAGUGGGGAAUAUUGCACAAUGGGGGGAACCCUGAUGCAGCGACGCCGCGUGGGUGAAGAAGCGCCUCGGCGCGUAAAGCUCUGUUAGUAGGGAAGAAAAUGACGGUACCUGAAGAAUAAGCCCUUGCUAACUACGUGCCAGCAGCCGCGGUAAUACGUAGGGGGCAAGCGUUCUCCGGAUUUACUGGGGGUAAAGGGGGCGCAGGCGGCGGUGCAAGCCAGGAGUGAAAGCCCGGGGCCCAACCCCGGGACUGCACUUGGAACUGGGUGGCUGGAGUGCAGGAGGGGCAGGCGGAAUUCCUGGUGUAGCGGUGAAAUGCGUAGAUAUCAGGAGGAACACCGGUGGCGAAGGCGGCCUGCUGGACUGCAACUGACGUUGAGGCGCGAAAGCGUGGGGAGCAAACAGGAUUAGAUACCCUUGUAGUC
Molecule: ribosomal RNA, 440 nt
Filed under: uncultured bacterium
Lineage: Bacteria
Description: partial 16S ribosomal RNA
Rfam family: Bacterial small subunit ribosomal RNA
Source: RNAcentral